This 1168-nucleotide unclassified non-coding RNA is filed under the name Cimex lectularius (bed bug). RNAcentral describes it as "hybrid signal transduction histidine kinase L-like, transcript variant X1". Lineage: Eukaryota; Metazoa; Arthropoda; Insecta; Hemiptera; Cimicidae. The record is from RNAcentral.
UUUAAAUAUGGUUUGAACAUUUUUCUUUGACACUUUCAAAUGAUUGAUUAGUAGUAGAACAUCGUUGGGCAGCAGUAGACAUCAGCUAUUAGAUAAAACAUCACAUGAUUUUAUGAUCAAAUAUUAAACACAUGAAUGCCAAAUAUAUUUAAAUGGCGAACACUCGUGAUUAUUGAAAACAAAUGUGUAUUGUGUAUAAAAGAUUUUUAUUUUUCCAAUUUUAUUUUAGCGGACAAAAUGAAUUGUAUCCGCGUGAGAACGUGUUGUUUUAUGUGUUCGGUAACGACAGGGAGCAAAAUUUUUGGAUGGGUCAUAACACUUGCUUCAACCGCCGGGAUUAUCUAUCUAGCUGCUACGUUCAACGAUGUCUUCACACCUCCUGUGUCGAUAGCAGGACUUACAUUUGCAGGCCUAGUCCUCUUUGGUGGGGUCACCCUCCUCGUCGGAAUCUAUAGUGAGUCGUCCAACGCCGUUCUCGGGGCGCUGAUCGUACUCGUCCUGGUAUUUUUAGGAGCAGUGGCCUUGGCCGUGCCUUUCGCCGAAGGGUACAUCACUGGAAAAGUCUCGUUUAUGAAAACUUUGCCGUCGUUCGCCGGGAUAAUACUGCUUAUCCUUGGCUCAGGUUUCAGUGUAAUUAUCACGAACAGUUAUCGCCUCGACAAGAUAGAAGAGUUACUCGCCAUGUACGCCCCCGAUUCGAUGGCACUAAGUGACGAAGAGAUAAUCAUCGUGAACCGUCCUAAUUACGCCUUUCCUCCAGGGCCUGGCCCUGCACACCAGCUCGCCCAGGGUGCCACGAUGAAACAGCCGGACAGGUUCAGAUAUGGAAAGCACCCAAGAGAUGCGAUCGACCCCAGGAAGUUCUCCAGGCACGGCCACCGUUACUCUCCCAACCAGCGAAGAUAUUAUCCGACCCAGUCGUACGCUGUAUACAGGCCGAUUUACAGGAGAGCAGUUCUCACAGGCCAGGCCAAACCUACCGAAGGCAUCUUCGGCACUUACGAACUCAAGUACAAGCCUCCGGACGGAACUUAUUACUAAAUGAGACAGUGUUGUUUAGUGUAUUUACGGCAUACUACUGUGGAAUGUCCAGGCUAAAAGAAAGUUUACUACUUGUAUCAGAUGAUAGUCAUUAAUAGCGCUCGUCGGGAAGUGAAACGGAACAGAG